Candidatus Synechococcus spongiarum 15L is the source of this 74-nucleotide non-coding RNA. The record is from Rfam. Lineage: Bacteria; Bacillati; Cyanobacteriota; Cyanophyceae; Synechococcales; Synechococcaceae.
GGGCUUGUAGCUCAGUGGAUUAGAGCACCUGACUACGGAUCAGGGUGUCGGGAGUUCGAAUCUCUCCAGGCCCG